AACUAACGCUGGCGGCGUGCCUAACACAUGCAAGUCGUACGAGAAAGUUGGCUUCGGCCGAUGAGUAAAGUGGCGCACGGGUGAGUAAUGCGUGGAUAAUCUGCCCUUUAGUUGGGAAUAACGUACCGAAAGGUGCGCUAAUACCUGAUAAUACUGCAUAACUACUGUUGUGUAGUCAAAGAAGGCCUCUGUUUACAAGCUUUUGCUGAAGGAUGAGUCCGCGUACCAUUAGCUGGUUGGUGGGGUAAUGGCCUACCAAGGCUACGAUGGUUAGCUGGUCUGAGAGGAUGAUCAGCCACACUGGAACUGAGACACGGUCCAGACUCCUACGGGAGGCAGCAGUGAGGAAUAUUGCGCAAUGGGGGCAACCCUGACGCAGCAACGCCGCGUGAGUGAGGAAGGUUUUCGGACCGUAAAGCUCUGUCGAGCGGGAAGAAAUGUAUCAUGGCUAAUAUCCAUGAUAUUUGACGGUACCGCUAGAGG
This 483-nucleotide ribosomal RNA is filed under the name uncultured bacterium. RNAcentral's name for it is "bacterial SSU rRNA". It matches the Rfam family "Bacterial small subunit ribosomal RNA", at positions 29 to 487 of the family's 1533-position model. The record is from RNAcentral.